GGCUGCGCGGGUCCACGUCCACUGCUCCUUCUCCUUCUUUCUGGGAGGUCCGGGUGGCUGUGCCGAGUUUCUGUUGCCCUUCGGCCUGAAGGUACUGGAAGGGAAAUCGGGAGGACCCGCAGGUACCUCGGAAGCCGGGAAAUGGACUCAAUGGCUUUUGAGGAUGUGGCUGUGAACUUUACGCAAAAGGAGUGGGCUUUGUUGACUUCUUCCCAGAAGAAUCUCUACAGAGAUGUAAUGCAGGAAACCUUAAGGAAUUUGGCUUCUGUAGGAAGCAAAUGGGAAGACCAGAACAUUGACAAUUACUACAGAAAUUCUUGAAGAAAUCUAAGUUCCAUUUGGUGACAUAAAAUAACUC
Long non-coding RNA from Lemur catta (Ring-tailed lemur), 358 nucleotides. RefSeq lists it as uncharacterized. The record is from RefSeq and is a predicted model, not a curated record. The transcript has 4 exons. NCBI's taxonomy places the organism in Eukaryota, Metazoa, Chordata, Mammalia, Primates, Lemuridae.